UACGUAGGGUGCGAGCGUUAAUCGGAAUUACUGGGCGUAAAGCGUGCGCAGGCGGCUUCGCAAGACAGAUGUGAAAUCCCCGGGCUUAACCUGGGAACUGCAUUUGUGACUGCAUGGCUGGAGUGCGGCAGAGGGGGAUGGAAUUCCGCGUGUAGCAGUGAAAUGCGUAGAUAUGCGGAGGAACACCGAUGGCGAAGGCAAUCCCCUGGGCCUGCACUGACGCUCAUGCACGAAAGCGUGGGGAGCAAACAGG
This 253-nucleotide ribosomal RNA is filed under the name uncultured bacterium. RNAcentral's name for it is "partial 16S ribosomal RNA". It matches the Rfam family "Bacterial small subunit ribosomal RNA", at positions 524 to 776 of the family's 1533-position model. The record is from RNAcentral.